This 505-nucleotide ribosomal RNA is filed under the name uncultured bacterium. RNAcentral's name for it is "bacterial SSU rRNA". It matches the Rfam family "Bacterial small subunit ribosomal RNA", at positions 501 to 1008 of the family's 1533-position model. The record is from RNAcentral.
CUACGUGCCAGCAGCCGCGGUAAUACGGAAGGUCCAGGCGUUAUCCGGAUUUAUUGGGUUUAAAGGGAGUGUAGGCGGUUUGUUAAGCGUGUUGUGAAAUUUAGGUGCUCAACAUUUAACUUGCAGCGCGAACUGUCAGACUUGAGUACACGCAACGUAUGCGGAAUUCAUGGUGUAGCGGUGAAAUGCUUAGAUAUCAUGAAGAACUCCGAUUGCGAAGGCAGCAUACGGGAGUGUAACUGACGCUUAAGCUCGAAGGUGCGGGUAUCGAACAGGAUUAGAUACCCUGGUAGUCCGCACAGUAAACGAUGGAUGCCCGCUGUUAGCGCCUGGCGUUAGCGGCUAAGCGAAAGCAUUAAGCAUCCCACCUGGGGAGUACGCCGGCAACGGUGAAACUCAAAGGAAUUGACGGGGGCCCGCACAAGCGGAGGAACAUGUGGUUUAAUUCGAUGAUACGCGAGGAACCCUACCCGGGCUUGAAUUGCAGAGGAAUUAUUUAGAGAUA